CCUGAGAUGCGCACAUAGUCAGAUAGCCCACGAGGCCACGAGUACGUUAUCAAUCCCUUCCGAUCGAGAAUUCAUUGUCUGCUUCCCAAUAAUUUCGGCUGAUUCCUUUCCGCCCAGAUCGUGAGCCGCAAGCCGGCGAUUCCGGCCUCAUCUAGGUCGUCCUCACCAUCACCCCAAGUCCGGUCUCCGGUGGACCGUCGAACUCCACUUCACGACAGAUCCGCUGACGCUGUCGCUUAGCUUGGAGGCAGAGGCAACUUAGAAUGCUAUCAUGAGGAUUAUGAGAGUCAAGGGUGAAGGGCCUCACGAUCUACCAUCUAAAGAGUCAUCUUCAGGUGUGUAUGCAUCGGUACAAUUAGGUUUAGUUUGAGUACUCUCUUUCUCUCUCUCUUCCUCUCCUAAUGUGUGGUUUGAUUUGUGAUUGUAUUUAUCUUAUAAUAAAAUCAUAAAUUUCAUGCA
Triticum aestivum (bread wheat) is the source of this 459-nucleotide long non-coding RNA. RefSeq lists it as uncharacterized. The record is from RefSeq and is a predicted model, not a curated record. The transcript has 2 exons. NCBI's taxonomy places the organism in Eukaryota, Viridiplantae, Streptophyta, Magnoliopsida, Poales, Poaceae.